Non-coding RNA from Actinobacteria bacterium OV450, 48 nucleotides. NCBI's taxonomy places the organism in Bacteria, Bacillati, Actinomycetota, Actinomycetes. The record is from Rfam.
CGCCAAGUCCGAGGCUCCGGUGUUCACCGGAGCCUGGUGCGAAAGGGA